Molecule: long non-coding RNA, 1416 nt
Organism: Eriocheir sinensis (Chinese mitten crab)
Lineage: Eukaryota; Metazoa; Arthropoda; Malacostraca; Decapoda; Varunidae
Exons: 4
Source: RefSeq, a predicted model, not a curated record
UUCUCCUCCCCCUUUCCCCGUUUUCUGGACUGGACAGCACGACUCCACGACACAAAUAUUGUCUUCGGGCGACUGUCGGACCGAACAUUGCAAUAAAAGGAGAGCUCUGUGGGUGAGUUGUUUGUGGGCUUGCACUGCGACGGGUCCAAGCGAAGGGGGCUACCGAGGGUUCAGGGAAGGGUUGAGAGGGUUGUAUGAAGGGGUUGAAAACGUUGCGGCGAGAUGUUACUGUAAUCGGUGUAUAGAGGAAAGGGUGAAAGUCGGACCUUGGCGUAUGUUGGGUUCAAGGACACGCAUGGACGAUGUAAGGACGUGAUGAAGAAGUGGUUAGUGUUAGUGGUGAGUGAAAAUGAUUAUACCAUGAUACUUGGGUCAGGGAUGGGUGGUGUGAUACGUAAUGUUGUUUGUUAUAGAGUGGUGCCGGUAGAUGAAGUCGCCAGUGGUGAAUAUAAGAGCUUAGAUAGGCUGAGAUUACUACAAGUGCGGAGUGUCGGCAGGAGUGGCGUUGUUGGUGAAGCCGGUUGGGCCUGUUAACAAAGUCGUGGUUGAUAAGAACUGGUCAUGGAAAAGUAAAGGUUCCCGCCGCCCGCGCCAAGCCACCCACCAUGUAGGGCAUCGGCCUGGCCUGCGGCACCUCGUCGGCGGCCACGUAUACGUCAGGGGCGUAACCUUGGGCCGCGGCGAUGGGCUUGAGCGUCUCCACGAUGGCGGAGGGGUAGCCUGUACACGAGCCCACCUUGAUGUUCAUCCUGCGUAGCUCCGUCAGGCAUUCCACAGUACCUGACGAAGGAAGAGGAGGAAAAUCAGGGAGGAAGGUGAACGGACGAUGUGGUUACCCGCUUGUGCAUGCCCAUGGGUCCUCGGGCCUCGGCGCUGGUCACCUCGAUGCCCUCCUCCCUGAAGAGCUCCAUGAAGGCGCCGGUGGGGGAGAACACACCGCAGUCAAUCACCGUCCCUGCGGCCACGGGGGAGAGAAGGGAGACGAGUAGAAUCAGUAAAAGUAAGGUGAGGGAGACUCCUUUGCUGAGGCAGAGACACAGGAAGGAUCCAUCGUCGUCAUGUCUUCCAGUCAGUUUGGAUCUGUGGCUCAAACAUCAUCAUUGGAAAGCAUAGUGUGUCAUCGAAGCAUGCCAGGCUCCCAACCUGGCAGAACUAAAUGAUAAAAAAACUAAGACUCUUAGUCUAUAAAGUAGAAUAAUAGUAGAUUACUACUGUUAAAAAAUAUAAGAAAGAGAUGAAGUUGAAGAUGAUGCUUGAAAUGUUUAUACCACAUUACAUUCCAUGCUAAUCUUAUUGUGUAAUUAUGAAGCUACUUCAAAUGUGCAGUUGUCUGCAAUAGAGAAAUUUCUCUUGACCACGAUGGUAUUAUCAGAUAGUGUAAGUUGAAAAAGGAGGGAGUAACACCUUUUUUAGACA